CUUACCAUGCAGUCGAACGAUGAAGGAGAGCUUGCUCUCUGGAUUAGUGGCGAACGGGUGAGUAACACGUGAGCAACCUGCCCCUGACUCUGGGAUAAGCGCUGGAAACGGCGUCUAAUACUGGAUAUGAGCUCCUGCCGCAUGGUGGGGGUUGGAAAGAUUUUUUGGUUGGGGAUGGGCUCGCGGCCUAUCAGCUUGUUGGUGAGGUAAUGGCUCACCAAGGCGUCGACGGGUAGCCGGCCUGAGAGGGUGACCGGCCACACUGGGACUGAGACACGGCCCAGACUCCUACGGGAGGCAGCAGUGGGGAAUAUUGCACAAUGGGCGGAAGCCUGAUGCAGCAACGCCGCGUGAGGGAUGACGGCCUUCGGGUUGUAAACCUCUUUUAGCAGGGAAGAAGCGAAAGUGACGGUACCUGCAGAAAAAGCACCGGCUAACUACGUGCCAGCAGCCGCGGUAAUACGUAGGGUGCAAGCGUUAUCCGGAAUUAUUGGGCGUAAAGAGCUCGUAGGCGGUUUGUCGCGUCUGCUGUGAAAUCCCGAGGCUCAACCUCGGGUCUGCAGUGGGUACGGGCAGACUAGAGUGCGGUAGGGGAGAUUGGAAUUCCUGGUGUAGCGGUGGAAUGCGCAGAUAUCAGGAGGAACACCGAUGGCGAAGGCAGAUCUCUGGGCCGUAACUGACGCUGAGGAGCGAAAGGGUGGGGAGCAAACAGGCUUAGAUACCCUGGUAGUCCACCCCGUAAACGUUGGGAACUAGUUGUGGGGUCCAUUCCACGGAUUCCGUGACGAAGCUAACGCAUUAAGUUCCCCGCCUGGGGAGUACGGCCGCAAGGCUAAAACUCAAGGAAA
Molecule: ribosomal RNA, 848 nt
Filed under: Microbacterium sp. AS5(11)
Lineage: Bacteria; Bacillati; Actinomycetota; Actinomycetes; Micrococcales; Microbacteriaceae
Description: bacterial SSU rRNA
Rfam family: Bacterial small subunit ribosomal RNA
Source: RNAcentral